Molecule: ribosomal RNA, 496 nt
Filed under: uncultured bacterium
Lineage: Bacteria
Description: partial 16S ribosomal RNA
Rfam family: Bacterial small subunit ribosomal RNA
Source: RNAcentral
AUGCACGCUGGCGGCGUGCCUAAUACAUGCCCGUCGAGCGAACGGACGAGAAGCUUGCUUCUCUGAUGUUAGCGGCGGACGGGUGAGUAACACGUGGAUAACCUACCUAUAAGACUGGGAUAACUUCGGGAAACCGGAGCUAAUACCGGAUAAUAUUUUGAACCGCAUGGUUCAAAAGUGAAAGACGGUCUUGCUGUCACUUAUAGAUGGAUCCGCGCUGCAUUAGCUAGUUGGUAAGGUAACGGCUUACCAAGGCAACGAUGCAUAGCCGACCUGAGAGGGUGAUCGGCCACACUGGAACUGAGACACGGUCCAGACUCCUACGGGAGGCAGCAGUAGGGAAUCUUCCGCAAUGGGCGAAAGCCUGACGGAGCAACGCCGCGUGAGUGAUGAAGGUCUUCGGAUCGUAAAACUCUGUUAUUAGGGAAGAACAUAUGUGUAAGUAACUGUGCACAUCUUGACGGUACCUAAUCAGAAAGCCACGGCUAACUACGUG